UACGGGAGGCAGCAGUGGGGAAUAUUGCACAAUGGGGGGAACCCUGAUGCAGCGACGCCGCGUGCGGGAUGACGGCCUUCGGGUUGUAAACCGCUUUAUUGGGGAGCAAGCGUGAGUGAGUGUACCUUUUGAAUAAACACCGGCUAACUACGUGCCAGCAGCCGCGGUAAU
Molecule: ribosomal RNA, 171 nt
Filed under: uncultured Alloscardovia sp.
Lineage: Bacteria; Bacillati; Actinomycetota; Actinomycetes; Bifidobacteriales; Bifidobacteriaceae
Description: partial 16S ribosomal RNA
Rfam family: Bacterial small subunit ribosomal RNA
Source: RNAcentral